Molecule: ribosomal RNA, 194 nt
Filed under: uncultured Rikenellaceae bacterium
Lineage: Bacteria; Pseudomonadati; Bacteroidota; Bacteroidia; Bacteroidales; Rikenellaceae
Description: partial 16S ribosomal RNA
Rfam family: Bacterial small subunit ribosomal RNA
Source: RNAcentral
UACUCCUACGGGAGGCAGCAGUGAGGAAUAUUGGACAAUGGAUGGAAAUCUGAUCCAGCCAUGCCGCGUGCAGGAAGACGGCCCUAUGGGUUGUAAACUGCUUUUGUAUGGGAGCAAUAAGGGCUACGUGUAGUUUGAUGAGAGUACCAUACGAAUAAGCACCGGCUAACUCCGUGCCAGCAGCCGCGGUAAUA